Molecule: non-coding RNA, 430 nt
Organism: Parasteatoda tepidariorum (common house spider)
Lineage: Eukaryota; Metazoa; Arthropoda; Arachnida; Araneae; Theridiidae
Source: RefSeq, a predicted model, not a curated record
UUAUGAGAUGAAACUCCUAUUUUAACUUCUAACCGCAUAUAAUUUUUGUUUAUUUUCGUUCGGUUUGGUUUUUCCAACGAGGCUUUUUCUUGAUGCGAAUCUGGAUUUUGAAUUGAGAGUCUCUGAGAAAUUUAUUCUUGAAAGUGAACAUGAUUAUACCCAUACGGUGUUUUACGUGCGGUAAAGUUAUUGGAAAUAAAUGGGAAUCGUAUCUUGGAUUAUUACAAGCUGAAUAUACUGAAGGCGAUGCACUCGAUGCUUUAGGGUUGAAAAGAUACUGUUGUCGACGGAUGCUCCUUGGUCAUGUAGAUCUCAUUGAAAAGUUACUAAAUUAUGCUCCCCUUGAAAAGUAACAGUCUUGUUUGUGACUGCUUGUAAAUAUCAUUUCUGUCUUGUACACUCUGAAAUAAAAUCACCUUUUUUUAAGAAA